AGCGGCAGGCCUAAUACAUGCAAGUCGAACGGUAACAUUGGUGCUUGCACCAGAUGACGAGUGGCGCACGGGUGCGUAACGCGUAUGCAAUCUACCUUUUACUAGAGUAUAGCCCAGAGAAAUUUGGAUUAAUCCUCUAUAAUAUCUUUUAAUUUCAUGAUUUUAAGAUUAAAGUUUUAACGGUAAAAGAUGAGCAUGCGUCCUAUUAGUUUGUAGGUGAGGUAACGGCUCACCUAGACUACGAUAGGUAGGGGCCCUGAGAGGGGGAUCCCCCACACUGGUACUGAGACACGGACCAGACUCCUACGGGAGGCAGCAGUAAGGAAUAUUGGACAAUGGACGAAAGUCUGAUCCAGCCAUGCCGCGUGCAGGAUGAAAGCCCUACGGGUUGUAAACUGCUUUUAUACAGGAAGAAACACUCCGACGUGUCGGAGCUUGACGGUACUGUAAGAAUAAGGAUCGGCUAACUCCGUGCCAGCAGCCGCGGUAAUACGGAGGAUCCAAGCGUUAUCCGGAAUCAUUGGGUUUAAAGGGUCCGCAGGCUGUUUUUUAAGUCAGAGGUGAAAUCCUACAGCUCAACUGUAGAACUGCCUUUGAUACUGAAAAACUUGAGUUACUGUGAAGUGGUUAGAAUGUGUGGUGUAGCGGUGAAAUGCAUAGAUAUCACACAGAAUACCGAUUGCGAAGGCAGAUCACUAACAGUAUACUG
Molecule: ribosomal RNA, 709 nt
Filed under: uncultured Bacteroidota bacterium
Lineage: Bacteria; Pseudomonadati; Bacteroidota
Description: bacterial SSU rRNA
Rfam family: Bacterial small subunit ribosomal RNA
Source: RNAcentral